Molecule: small nucleolar RNA, 143 nt
Organism: Acomys russatus (golden spiny mouse)
Lineage: Eukaryota; Metazoa; Chordata; Mammalia; Rodentia; Muridae
Product: small nucleolar RNA SNORA48
Exons: 1
Source: RefSeq, a predicted model, not a curated record
GACUCCUGGCAAUGGGCAAAGAGACGCCUUGUUGGUGGUGGUGUUCUUAUAUCGGCCAGUGAAGAGCAGAUGGCAGUCCUUUAUUCAUCCCAGCUUGAUGCCUGGCUUGGUGGCCAAAGCGGUUUUAUGCCUAGGAUUAUUAA